Molecule: ribosomal RNA, 335 nt
Filed under: uncultured Pseudomonadota bacterium
Lineage: Bacteria; Pseudomonadati; Pseudomonadota
Description: bacterial SSU rRNA
Rfam family: Bacterial small subunit ribosomal RNA
Source: RNAcentral
AGCGAACGCUGGCGGCGUGCCUAACACAUGCAAGUCGAACGUGAAAUGGGGCAACCCAAAGUAAAGUGGCGUACGGGUGAGUAACACGUAGGUAAUCUACCGGAGAGUCUGGAAUAACCGGCCGAAAGGCUGGCUAAUACUGGAUAGAGCGACGAGACCCAUAACGGGUCUUUCGGGAAAGGGAGGCAGCAAUGUCCCUUGCUCUUCGAUGAGCCUGCGUCUCAUUAGCUAGUUGGUGGGGUAACGGCCCACCAAGGCAUUGAUGAGUAGCUGGUCUGAGAGGAUGAUCAGCCACACUGGAACUGAAACACGGUCCAGACUCCUACGGGAGGCUG